CCUACGGGUGGCAGCAGUGGGGGAUAUUGCACAAUGGGGGAAACCCUGAUGCAGCGACGCCGCGUGUAGGAAGACGGUCCUCUGGAUUGUAAACUACUGUCCCCCAGGGACGAAGAUGACGGUACCUGGGGAGGAAGCUCCGGCUAACUACGUGCCAGCAGCCGCGGUAAUACGUAGGGAGCGAGCGUUGUCCGGAAUUACUGGGUGUAAAGGGAGCGGAGGCGGGGAUGCAGGUUGGGUGUUAAAUCUACCGGCUAAACUGGUCGUCGCACUCAAAACUGCAGCUCUUGAGUGAAGUAGAGGCAGGCGGAAUUCCUGGUGUAGCGGUGAAAUGCGUUGAUAUUAGGAGGAACACCAGUGGCGAAGGCGGCCUGCUGGGCUUUUACUGACGCUGAGGCUCGAAAGUGUGGGGAGCAAACAGGAUUAGAUACCCCAGUAGUC
RNAcentral lists this ribosomal RNA (441 nucleotides) under uncultured bacterium. Its description in RNAcentral is "partial 16S ribosomal RNA". It matches the Rfam family "Bacterial small subunit ribosomal RNA", at positions 338 to 795 of the family's 1533-position model. The record is from RNAcentral.